GUGCCAGCAGCCGCGGUAAUACGUAGGUGGCAAGCGUUAUCCGGAAUUAUUGGGCGUAAAGCGCGCGUAGGCAGUUUUUUAAGUCUGAUGUGAAAGCCCACGGCUCAACCGUGGAGGGUCAUUGGAAACUGGAAAACUUGAGUGCAGAAGAGGAAAGUGGAAUUCCAUGUGUAGCGGUGAAAUGCGCAGAGAUAUGGAGGAACACCAGUGGCGAAGGCGACUUUCUGGUCUGUAACUGACGCUGAUGUGCGAAAGCGUGGGGAUCAAAC
This 269-nucleotide ribosomal RNA is filed under the name uncultured Staphylococcus sp. RNAcentral's name for it is "partial 16S ribosomal RNA". It matches the Rfam family "Bacterial small subunit ribosomal RNA", at positions 505 to 773 of the family's 1533-position model. Lineage: Bacteria; Bacillati; Bacillota; Bacilli; Caryophanales; Staphylococcaceae. The record is from RNAcentral.